Molecule: long non-coding RNA, 1868 nt
Filed under: Homo sapiens (human)
Lineage: Eukaryota; Metazoa; Chordata; Mammalia; Primates; Hominidae
Description: HSALNT0214940
Source: RNAcentral
UCUGCCACGUGCCAGCCGGGUGAUCGCAGGGCACGUGCUUUUGCCACGUUUGUCGUCUCACGGGGCUGCUGGGAGGAUGAAGUGGGGGUGACGCCGGCCCCUCUGUGCUCCCACUUCCAUCUGCUUGUCAGGCCCUUCUGCCACCCCGCGGGGGUCAGGGCUAAUUACUCAGUCUUGCUGGUGGGGAAACUGAGGCGUGGAGAGGAGAUGGAACCCGCCCGCGGUCUGGGAGACGCAACCUGCUGCUGGACUCCAUGGCUGGCUUCUUGACCCGCUGCCCUGGUCUCAGGGCCUCCAUGUGGUAUCACCACAUGGCCUCACCAGCACUGUGACUUCGGGCUUCAGGGUAUUUUGGCAAAUAAUGAUGGCUCAGGGGUCCCAGAGCAAACAGUGAAAGAUGCAUGGCCUUCUCUGAGCCAGCCUCCAAAAUUACAUGAUGUCACUUCUGCCCUACUGGAUGGGAUUAAAGCCAUGGCAAGUCCACCCAGAUUCCAGGUGAGAGAACAUGCACCCUGUAUUAGUCUGUUCUCAUGCUGCUAUGAAGAAAUACCUGAGACUGGGUAAUUUAUAAAGAAAAGAGGUUUAAUUGACUCACAGUCCUGCAUGGCAGGGGAGGCUUCAGGGAACUUACAAUCGUGGCAGAAGGGGAAGCAAUCAUGUCCUUCUUCACAUGGUGGCAGGAGAGAGAAGUGCAGAGUGAAAGAGUGAAGCAGGGAAAAGUCCCUUAUAAAACCAUCAGAUCUCCUAAGAGCUCACUCACUAUCAUUAGAACAGCAUGGGGGAACUGCCCCCAUGAUCUAAUCACCUCACAUAAGGUCCCCCCCACAACAUGUGGGGAUUACAAUUUGGAUUACAAUUCAAGAUGAGAUUUUGGGUGCAGACACAGCCAAACCAUAUCAGGCCCAUCUCUUGAAGGGAAGAAUGUCAAGGAAUUUGCAGCCAUGUUUCAAAACCUCUGCAAUUACCUGCAUCAUUUGCACACUUUCUUCAGAAGAAACACAGCUGGACUUGUUCCUAUGUGAAUUUCCUUUUCAAGACCCAGCCUACCUUUCAAGAUGAUAGUUAAUAAAAAAAAAAGUAUCAAUUAUCAGACAGUUACUUUGGCCUAGUGACUGCACUAACUACUUCACGUGAGGAAUGUGCUAUGUCUUAGUCCAUUCAAGCUCCUAUAAGAAAAUAACUUAAACUGGGUGGCUUGUAAACAACAAAAGUUUGUUUCUCACAGGCUGAAGGCUGAAGAAGUCCAAGAUCAAUGUGCCAGUAGAUUUGAUGUCGGGUGAGGGUCCCACUUUUGGGUUCGUAGACAGUGCCUUCUUACGGUGUCCUCACAUGGCAGCAGGAGCAAGGCAGUUCUCCAGGGUCCCUUUCAUAAGGGCACAAAUAUCAUUCACAGGGGCUCCACCUCUAUGACUUAAUCACCUGCCAAAGGUCCCACCUCCUAAUACCGUCACCUUAUGGGGUGAAGAUUUACAUAGGAAUGUCUAGGGGACACAAACAUUCAGGCCAUUGCAUGCGCUCCUGUUCCCCAUUUUACAGGUGAGAAGCCAAGGCUUCCAGCAGGUCAAUAGGUUGCCCCAAUCACUCAGCAAGGAAAUGUCAGAGGGAAGAGCAAUACCCAGAGCUCCUCAUCUCCAGAGCCUACACCCUUAAUGCCCUGUGCCCUGGCCCACCACGCUGCCUGUGAGUCUGCUGUGUCUGGUUUUAUUGGCAGGACCUGGCUGUUUCCCGCAAGUCCUCCAACAUCACUCAAGCUCCUGAAUCUGUUAGAAGUUGUUUCCUCUCAUUCUUACUCCCAGAAGGAAAUCUUAUCUCCAUAUUCUAGGGAUACUCUCCUCUAGUGAUGGCUACAACUGGUAUACAUUUGGCAG